This is a long non-coding RNA of Nerophis ophidion (straightnose pipefish), 610 nucleotides long. RefSeq lists it as uncharacterized. The transcript has 3 exons. NCBI's taxonomy places the organism in Eukaryota, Metazoa, Chordata, Actinopteri, Syngnathiformes, Syngnathidae. The record is from RefSeq and is a predicted model, not a curated record.
UGGGCGUUAUGAGCCUCCGCGCCGCUAGUUGGCGUAGCGAACAACAGUCUACCCCGUCAGCGACCAAAACAGUAAGCCAUCUGUCAAACUAAUUGCUGUUAAAAUUUAUCUCAUUUGUUUAUUCUUUUUGCCUUGACUGGCGCUAGUUAGCUGGACUUAUCUGCCAACCCUCUGGGAAUUGGACCCCAAAUUUUACUUCUUUUUUUUUUUUUUAAACCACAUUUGGUUUGUAAAAAGCAAAGAAAGAAGUUCGGAAAUAUUUUUGUCUACCUGAGAAGUUACAUGUGGGUAUCACGUCUGAUGAGGAUCAACAGCCCCUCUGUCAUCAUGGCUUCUAAGCCCCCACUGCGCCUGGGCCUUAUAUAUCCUGCAGAGACUGGGUUGGGUGAAAUUGACACACACUUGCAGCUCAGCCUUGACGCUGUACACAUCCAGACGAUUCCUCUCGUUUCUCCAUGCAGUUGUCAUCAUUAAAAAGACACGUUCAUGGAAUGCCAUGGAAUGAGUCUCGACUGCUUUUCGUUAUAAAUCCGUGCUCUUUUAUCCAUUCAGAAUUAAACGAGGUCUUGCGUUUUGACAUGAUGCUAACUUUCUGUCAAUGUCAUGCCGC